UGAUAGUGCUGGGCUUGGUGGAGUAAAGGCUAAGAGAAGUGACACAGAAAGUUAUCAAAACAAGGAUAGUAUAAGAGGUAAUUCUGUUUCUGGAACUAGUCGCUCAUCAGUCGAUGGCUUCAAAAGUGAGUGCAAAACAAAAUCCAAGACCAAGCAAAAGAGUAGUCAUUUGUCAAAAACUGGAAAUGGACCUCGCGGAUCUGGUCUUUCAGUAGCUAAUGCUAGCCAUAAAAUAGACACAGAAUUUGGUUCAGUAUCUCUCGUUAACAUCCGUCAGGAAACUUCUAAAGAGGCUGAUGAACCCAUUGAUUUCGCAAACUUGCAGCUGCAAGAAUUAGAUACAAUUGGAAUAGAAGUAUCCACUGACCUUGGCGGGCCACAAGAUCUCUAUUCAUGGUUGAAUUUUGAUGAUGAUGGCUUACAAGACCAUGAUUCCAUAGGUCUCGCAAUACCAAUGGAUGACCUUACAGAAUUGAAUAUGAUCAUGUAAGAGAAAUUUGCACUCUUCUUUUUUGGUUGAGCAAAGAUUCAAGGGACCAUUGAGAGAUCAGAGCUAGUGUAGCCCAGGCAAGUAAAUCGAAGAUUGCAACUGUAUAUAAUUUGUAGGUAAAUUGAAUGUUAUUUUGAUUAUUUGUGUGAAUUGAACAUCUGUGCUUCCCAUAUGCAUGUAUUCGUAUGAGAGGUGUAGGAUGUAUAAAUACAUUUAUCUUCUCAUUUUAUGUAGUAGCUUGCCUGGGCUACACUAGCUCUGAU
Molecule: unclassified non-coding RNA, 753 nt
Filed under: Hevea brasiliensis (rubber tree)
Lineage: Eukaryota; Viridiplantae; Streptophyta; Magnoliopsida; Malpighiales; Euphorbiaceae
Source: RNAcentral